RNAcentral lists this ribosomal RNA (253 nucleotides) under uncultured bacterium. RNAcentral describes it as "partial 16S ribosomal RNA". It matches the Rfam family "Bacterial small subunit ribosomal RNA", at positions 524 to 776 of the family's 1533-position model. The record is from RNAcentral.
UACGGGGGGGGCAAGCGUUGUUCGGAAUUACUGGGCGUAAAGGGCUCGUAGGCGGCCAACUAAGUCGGAUGUGAAAUCCCCAGGCUCAACUUGGGAACUGCAUCCGAUACUGGAUGGCUUGAAUUCGGGAGAGGGGUGCAGAAUUCCAGGUGUAGCGGUGAAAUGCGUAGAUAUCUGGAGGAAUACCGGUGGCGAAGGCGGCAUCCUGGACCGACAUUGACGCUGAGGAGCGAAAGCUAGGGGAGCAAACGGG